This 571-nucleotide ribosomal RNA is filed under the name uncultured Lactobacillus sp. RNAcentral describes it as "bacterial SSU rRNA". It matches the Rfam family "Bacterial small subunit ribosomal RNA", at positions 929 to 1501 of the family's 1533-position model. Lineage: Bacteria; Bacillati; Bacillota; Bacilli; Lactobacillales; Lactobacillaceae. The record is from RNAcentral.
GCGGUGGAGCAUGUGGUUUAAUUCGAAGCUACGCGAAGAACCCUACCAGGUCUUGACAUCUUCUGCCAAUCUUAGAGAUAAGACGUUCCCUUCGGGGACAGAAUGACAGGUGGUGCAUGGUUGUCGUCAGCUCGUGUCGUGAGAUGUUGGGUUAAGUCCCGCAACGAGCGCAACCCUUAUUAUCAGUUGCCAGCAUUCAGUUGGGCACUCUGGUGAGACUGCCGGUGACAAACCGGAGGAAGGUGGGGAUGACGUCAAAUCAUCAUGCCCCUUAUGACCUGGGCUACACACGUGCUACAAUGGACGGUACAACGAGUCGCAAAGUCGCGAGGCUAAGCUAAUCUCUUAAAGCCGUUCUCAGUUCGGAUUGCAGGCUGCAACUCGCCUACAUGAAGUUGGAAUCGCUAGUAAUCGCGGAUCAGCAUGCCGCGGUGAAUACGUUCCCGGGCCUUGUACACACCGCCCGUCACACCAUGAGAGUUUGUAACACCCAAAGCCGGUGAGGUAACCUUUUGGAGCCAGCCGUCUAAGGUGGGACAGAUGAUUAGGGUGAAGUCGUAACAAGGUAACC